This 857-nucleotide long non-coding RNA is filed under the name Fukomys damarensis (Damara mole-rat). RNAcentral's name for it is "lncRNA (ENSFDAG00000028822.1)". Lineage: Eukaryota; Metazoa; Chordata; Mammalia; Rodentia; Bathyergidae. The record is from RNAcentral.
AUGUGGGAUAUCUAUAGCAGGUACCGGAUGAAUGAACACAGGGACAGAGGGCCCCUGGCCACAGCAGGGAGGCUGGCAUUCCCAAGCCCUGGCCACUGUGGGAUUUCCAAACAAGUUUCAUAUCCUCAUUUCCAAGCCUCAGUGCAGGAGUCAUGGGAGGGAGGCGAUCAGGUCCAGCUUGCACAGGGUGGGGCAGGACUUUGCCCAGCAGAAACUGAGGGAGGUCGCCAGCUUUGGGUGGGGGCUGGGCUCCCAGGGAGCUGUGAUUCACAGUGGCAAGGUAGGACCUUUUCAUGUAGCUGCCGGUGCCAGGCACAGCAACGAGCCUAUGUGGAUCUGGCCCACCCUGCCUCUGUCGCAGCCCCAGAGCUGGGCAGGGAGAGCAGAGAGCCAGAGCAGGCGUCUUUGGUUGGCCUGGAGCCAGACCCCGGUGUGACCGAUGCUCAGAGGGAAGGGCUGGCCCCUGCAUGCCUGGUCAGGAAGACCUCCCUGAGCACAGGGUGGACGUUGAGGCUGCCUGAUGACAGGGAAGGCGAGCUCCACACAGAGGUGGUGAUUCUGCAAAGUGCUCAGGCAGGAGACUGCCUCCAUCUGCAAGCCUCCCAGCCUGCAGCGCCCCGGGGACCUGCAGAUCCUUCCCCAGUCAACCGCUGAGAAUGCCCAAGCCCUUUAGGGAGGCGCCACUUCAGCGGGGCCCGCGAGCGGCCGGUGCCAGCCAGAGGGAAGUGGACAGGACAGCAGCCUCCACCUGCAGCCCCAGCUGCCGAGAGCUCCCACCCCCAGGCGCCCUCGUUCUAGCCCUCUGCCAGCGCAGAGCCCUUCUGCUGCGGCCUCGCCUGGGGUCUCUCGCCCUCCUC